AACGAACGCUGGCGGCAGGCCUAACACAUGCAAGUCGAGCGGACCUUUCGGGUUCAGCGGCGGACGGGUGAGUAACGCGUGGGAAUAUGCCCUUCUCUACGGAAUAGUCCUGGGAAACUGGGGGUAAUACCGUAUACGCCCUUUGGGGGAAAGAUCUAUCGGGGAAGGAUUAGCCCGCGUUGGAUUAGGUAGUUGGUGGUGUAAUGGCCUACCAAGCCGACGAUCCAUAGCUGGUUUGAGAGGAUGAUCAGCCACACUGGGACUGAGACACGGCCCAGACUCCUACGGGAGGCAGCAGUGGGGAAUCUUAGACAAUGGGGGCAACCCUGAUCUAGCCAUGCCGCGUGAGUGAUGAAGGCCUUAGGGGUGUAAAGCUCUUUCAGCUGGGAAGAUAAUGACGGUACCAGCAGAAGAAGCCCCGGCUAACUCCGUG
This 433-nucleotide ribosomal RNA is filed under the name uncultured bacterium. RNAcentral's name for it is "partial 16S ribosomal RNA". It matches the Rfam family "Bacterial small subunit ribosomal RNA", at positions 29 to 507 of the family's 1533-position model. The record is from RNAcentral.